GUCUAAGUUGCAGUUUUGUGAGUGCGACGUAAACGAUAAUCGUGCAGGAGAGUAAGAUGCCAUCCUAUCAGUUAGUAAGUAGGGUAAGGGCCUACUUAGACGAAGACGGGUACGGGGAAUGAGGGUUUGAUUCCGGAGAGGGAGCCUGAGAGAUGGCUACCAGGACCAAGGUCAGCAGCAGGCGCGAAAAUUAUCGAAGCCCGCCUAGGGGCGAUAGUGAGGAGACGUGUAUUCGAAGUACGUGUAAAGAACGUACUAAUAACUGGAGGUCAAGUCUGGUGCCAGCAUCCGCGGUAAUUCCAGCUCCAGGGGUGUCUAUGAUGAUUGCUGCGAUUAAAAAGUCCGUAGUCAAGCUGACUGACUGACCUGCAAUGUGAUUGAUUAAAGAACGAGCAGGGUUAGGAAAGCAGAGAAUUAGGAGCGACCGAGGGCUAGAGUAUUGAAUGGCGAGAGGUGAAAUUUGAUGACCCAUUCAGGAGUGACAAAGGCGAAGGCACUAGUCAAGGGCGAAUCCGAUGAUCAAGGACGUAGGCUAGAGUUUCGAAAACGAUUAGAAACCGGAGUAGUUCUAGCAGUAAACUAUGCCGACGCCGUGAUAUUGUUUUUUGUGGCGGUAUUGCGGAAGAGAAAUCAAGUAGGGCUUUGGGGAGAGUACGCGCGCAAGCGAUAAAUUUAAAGGAAAUUGACGGAGGAACACCACAAGGAGUGGAGUGUGCGGCUUAAUUUGACUCAACGCGGGACAGCUUACCAGGCCCGAUAAUCGAGCGAGCGUAGUACGCGAUAGAUUAAAGAGUGGUGCAUGGCUGCUAUCGACAGUUGGGGUGACCUUAGGGUUAAUUCCGGCAAGUAGUGAGACCCCUGCAGAUAGUGGACAGGUAUUUUUUAAAAUACAGGAAGGAAGGGACAAGAGCAGGUCAGUGAUGCCCUUAGAUGGCCUGGGCUGCACGCGCACUACAGUGGUCAUUAUAAGU
RNAcentral lists this ribosomal RNA (971 nucleotides) under Dictyocoela sp. RNAcentral describes it as "SSU rRNA". It matches the Rfam family "Microsporidia small subunit ribosomal RNA", at positions 142 to 1073 of the family's 1311-position model. Lineage: Eukaryota; Fungi; Microsporidia. The record is from RNAcentral.